RNAcentral lists this ribosomal RNA (495 nucleotides) under uncultured bacterium. RNAcentral describes it as "partial 16S ribosomal RNA". It matches the Rfam family "Bacterial small subunit ribosomal RNA", at positions 28 to 507 of the family's 1533-position model. The record is from RNAcentral.
GACGAACGCUGGCGGCGUGCCUAAUACAUGCAAGUAGAACGCUGAAGGAGGAGCUUGCUUCUCUGGAUGAGUUGCGAACGGGUGAGUAACGCGUAGGUAACCUGCCUGGUAGCGGGGGAUAACUAUUGGAAACGAUAGCUAAUACCGCAUAAUAGUAGAUGUUGCAUGACAUUUGCUUAAAAGGUGCAAUUGCAUCACUACCAGAUGGACCUGCGUUGUAUUAGCUAGUUGGUGAGGUAACGGCUCACCAAGGCGACGAUACAUAGCCGACCUGAGAGGGUGAUCGGCCACACUGGGACUGAGACACGGCCCAGACUCCUACGGGAGGAAGCAGUAGGGAAUCUUCGGCAAUGGACGGAAGUCUGAACGAGCAACGCCGCGUGAGUGAAGAAGGUUGUCGGAUCGUAAAGCUCUGUUGUAAGAGAAGAACGAGUGUGAGAGUGGAAAGUUCACACUGUGACGGUAUCUUACCAGAAAGGGACGGCUAACUACGUG